AUGAACGCUGUCGGCGUGCCUAAUACAUGCAAGUCGAGCGAACGGACGAGAAGCUUGCUUCUCUGAUGUUAGCGGCGGACGGGUGAGUAACACGUGGAUAACCUACCUAUAAGAUUGGGAUAACUUCGGGAAACCGGAGCUAAUACCGGAUAAUAUUUUGAACCGCAUGGUUCAAAAGUGAAAGACGGUCUUGCUGUCACUUAUAGAUGGAUCCGCGCUGCAUUAGCUAGUUGGUAAGGUAACGGCUUACCAAGGCAACGAUGCAUAGCCGACCUGAGAGGGUGAUCGGCCACACUGGAACUGAGACACGGUCCAGACUCCUACGGGAAGCAGCAGUAGAGAAUCUUCCGCAGUGGGCGAAAGCCUGAAGGAGCAACGCCGCGUGAGUGAUGAAGGUCUUCGGAUAGUAAAACUCUGUUAUUAGGGAAGAACAUAUGUGUAAGUAACUGUGCACAUCUUGACGGUACCUAAUCAGAAAGCCACGGCUAACUACGUG
RNAcentral lists this ribosomal RNA (496 nucleotides) under uncultured bacterium. RNAcentral's name for it is "partial 16S ribosomal RNA". It matches the Rfam family "Bacterial small subunit ribosomal RNA", at positions 29 to 507 of the family's 1533-position model. The record is from RNAcentral.